GAAAACAGAAACGGAGCGGACGGCUUGUGGUGCGUGAGCACCACAAGGCAGGCCUCCUGGCGCAGCAGGUGAUGCGUCGUGGCCGACAGGCUCGGGGCUAUGAUGCAGAUGAUGGCAGCAGCGGCGGCAGCCAGGGCCAGUGGCAGCCGCAGCCUAGCAGCUCACAGGCGGCGGGCGAGGCGGACGAGGUGAGCUCGGACGGCGCCGAGUACGGCCGG
This is a long non-coding RNA of Pollicipes pollicipes, 218 nucleotides long. RefSeq lists it as uncharacterized. The record is from RefSeq and is a predicted model, not a curated record. NCBI's taxonomy places the organism in Eukaryota, Metazoa, Arthropoda, Thecostraca, Pollicipedomorpha, Pollicipedidae. The transcript has 3 exons.